RNAcentral lists this ribosomal RNA (424 nucleotides) under Calcinus fuscus. RNAcentral's name for it is "partial 16S ribosomal RNA". It matches the Rfam family "Archaeal large subunit ribosomal RNA", at positions 1994 to 2616 of the family's 2987-position model. The record is from RNAcentral. Lineage: Eukaryota; Metazoa; Arthropoda; Malacostraca; Decapoda; Diogenidae.
UGAAUUUUAAAGGGCCGCGGUAUUUCUGACCGUGCGAAGGUAGCAUAAUCAUUAGUCUUUUAAUUUGAGGCUCGUAUGAAUGGUCGGACGAGGGAUAAACUGUUUCAAAUAAAAAACUCGAAUUUAACUUUUAAGUGAAAAGGCUUAAAUACUUCAAAAAGACGAUAAGACCCUAUAAAUCUUAACAUUAAGCUUUAUAUUAUUCUAGCUUAUUAGUGUAAAGAAACCUAUAAAGAAAAUGUUGUGUUGGGGCAACAAAGAUAUAUAAAACAGCUGUCUUAUUAUUCAAACAAAAAUAAUUGAACUUUUUAGAUCCUUAUUAAAGAUUUUAAGAUCAAGUUACUUUAGGGAUAACAGCGUUAUUCUUUUUAAGAGUCCUCAUCGAAAAAAGAGUUUGCGACCUCGAUGUUGAAUUAGAAGAUCA